Molecule: microRNA precursor, 81 nt
Filed under: Bombyx mori (domestic silkworm)
Lineage: Eukaryota; Metazoa; Arthropoda; Insecta; Lepidoptera; Bombycidae
Description: mir-2807 microRNA precursor family
Rfam family: mir-2807 microRNA precursor family
Source: Rfam by way of RNAcentral
UUAACUCAAAUUUGUAUGGAGUUGGAACGUUUGCCAACGUUUGCCGCUAGGGGCGCUGUUCCAACUGCAUCCUUUGAGUUA